GCCGGGGUCCCAUAGCCAGGUAGUGGGUCGGCCUCGAGAGCCGAUGCCCCUUCGCGGGGCGCGUGGGUUCAAAUCCCACCCCCGGCG
RNAcentral lists this transfer RNA (87 nucleotides) under Nitrososphaerota archaeon. Its description in RNAcentral is "Thaumarchaeota archaeon tRNA-Ser". It matches the Rfam family "tRNA". Rfam says of the family: Transfer RNA (tRNA) molecules are approximately 80 nucleotides in length. Their secondary structure includes four short double-helical elements and three loops (D, anti-codon, and T loops). Lineage: Archaea; Thermoproteati; Nitrososphaerota. RNAcentral also lists the same sequence under 3 other names. The record is from RNAcentral.